Molecule: ribosomal RNA, 501 nt
Filed under: uncultured bacterium
Lineage: Bacteria
Description: partial 16S ribosomal RNA
Rfam family: Bacterial small subunit ribosomal RNA
Source: RNAcentral
AUUGAACGCUGGCGGCGUGCCUAACACAUGCAAGUCGAGCGGUAACAGGUGUAGCAAUACAUGCUGACGAGCGGCGGACGGGUGAGUAAUGUUUGGGAAUCUGCCUAUUAGUGGGGGACAACCCGGGGAAACUCGGGCUAAUACCGCAUACGCUCUACGGAGGAAAGCCGGGGACCGCAAGGCCUGGCGCUAGUAGAUGAGCCCAAAUUGGAUUAGCUAGUUGGUGAGGUAACGGCUCACCAAGGCGACGAUCCAUAACUGGUUUGAGAGAACGACCAGUCACACCGGAACUGAGACACGGUCCGGACUCCUACGGGAGGCAGCAGUGGGGAAUAUUGAACAAUGGGCGAAAGCCUGAUCCAGCGACGCCGCGUGGGUGAAGAAGGCCUGCGGGUUGUAAAGCCCUUUCGGUGGGGAUAAAAAGCCUUGGUUUAACACACCAGGGUCUUGAUCUAACCCAAGAAAGAAGCACCGGCUAACUCUGUGCCAGCCGCCGCGUAA